RNAcentral lists this ribosomal RNA (254 nucleotides) under uncultured bacterium. RNAcentral's name for it is "partial 16S ribosomal RNA". It matches the Rfam family "Bacterial small subunit ribosomal RNA", at positions 524 to 777 of the family's 1533-position model. The record is from RNAcentral.
UACGAAGGGGGCUAGCGUUGCUCGGAAUUACUGGGCGUAAAGGGCGCGUAGGCGGGUCGUUAAGUUAGAGGUGAAAGCCCAGGGCUCAACCCUGGAAUUGCCUUUAAUACUGGCGGCCUUGAGUAUGGCAGAGGUGUGUGGAACUCCGAGUGUAGAGGUGAAAUUCGUAGAUAUUCGGAAGAACACCAGUGGCGAAGGCGACACACUGGGCCAUUACUGACGCUGAGGCGCGAAAGCGUGGGGAGCAAACAGGG